ACAUCCGUCAGGUUCAGAUUCUAAAGACAGAUUUAAUUGGUUUAUUUAUUUGCCAAUUGCGUUUUUUUACUACAGUACGCACAUUGAUUGUACGCCAUUUAUUUUUACAUUAUACAUGAUUUUAUGCGUGUUACCAUACGUUUUACAUUAUACGUGUUACCAUUUACCAUGGGCAUGGAGAGACCUCUCCAAACCCUUGGUGUUACAUAAACAUUUGGUAUUCAUUUUCAUAUUGGUUAUUGAUUGUAGACCCACCCCCCCAGCAACGUCAACCUCCAGAAGGAAAGGCCAGCUUUUGCAUGUCCUUGACGCUCGAAGGUCAUGGAGAUCAUUAUGUAAAACUUGUCAUGCAAUGGUGUAGAGGUUGGACCCAUCCCCAGCAACGUCCGACCUGCAAAAGGAAAGGACAGUCACACUCGAAGGUCACGGAGAUCUUUACGUAAAACGUGUCAUGCAGUGGAGUAGAGGCUGGGUGAGAACGACACGUGUUGCAUCAUUAUCAAGCAGGUAAAAUAACCGCAAGGCUUAAGAGGUGAGGCUGAGAAAAAAUCGUAUAAAAGGCGAGAGAAACGGCGAUAGAAAAGCAGUCGUGUGAGCAUCUCCGACACGGCAACAACUGCAGCGCACUCUCCAUCUGCCUUCUUCACCGUAUUGCCAGUUCACAACCAUGGGCGUCGUUUGCUGUUUGGUGUUGUAACGUUGAUGGCUGGGUCGAAUCACUGAUGUAACGGUGUCUCCUGGGUAUAGUGGAGGCCAAACCACAACGCCGCCGGCUUACAACACAACAACAUACGCAACAACCGGUUCCUACACCACCAAGGCUCAAGAGUGUUACAAUUCAUGAUGCCCCGAGCUGCUACACUGAAUCCCGAAGUAUAACUCUGCCCCGAGUUACAUCACCAGAGAGCCGGAUUACUACACCGAGGCUCCCAAGUACUGCACCACUAAGGCACCGGAAUACUACACAACUACGUAUGCUGACUAUUCUGCCUCGGCCGAGGCCCCUCAUUACUACAACACGAGCUCAUGUACUACGCUACAACCUACGCUGCCCCGAGCUACUACACCGACGUCCCGAAGUAUUAGUGUGCGUAAAAGGAGUCGUCUAAAAAAAAAAGAAGUCGUUCCAGAACUGCAGUGCCUUAUCUGUCACCAACUGCAUUUCUCAUCGUGUAACCGAUUCGCAAUUAUGGAUAACUAUGGCGUCGUGCUCCUGUUGGGUUUUGUAUCGUUGAUGCCUUGAUGGUCGACCAUUGGUGUACCAAUGUCUCCUUGGUGUGGCGCAAACCAAACCGCAACUCCGCCGCCUUCCUACACAACUUACGCAACGACCAGUUCCUGCACCGAGGUCUUCAAGUACUACACCACUAAAGCACCGGGGUUUUAUACCACGACUUACGCUGCCCCGAGGCACUACACUGACGCCCUCAAGUAUAACUCUGCCUGGAGUUACUACACCACCAAGGCGACGGAGUACUACAUGACUACGUAUGCUGCCUAUCCUACUACACCGAGGCUCCUAACUGCUACACCGAGGUUGCCGCUUAUUACUCCACCAAAACGGUCGAAUACUACACCGAAGCGCCGAAGUACUACUCUGCCCCGAUCUACACAACCACAACUGAGGCGGCCAAGUAUUACGCAGUCCCAACUUGCUACACAGAAGCUGCUCUUUCGUACUACAUCGAAUGGAAAUACUACAGUGAUGCUCCAUUUUACUUCACCACGACCUACGCUACACCUAGCUACAACACCGCAGCCCCAAGUACUACACCGAAAAAGCCGCCCAUUACACAACCACAUACGCUGCCUGGUAUACCACAUCGAGGAAUUUAAGUAUUACCCCGCUCCAAACUACUACCAUCUGAGGUUCAUAUGUAUUUCACCAGCAAUUCUCCUGACUAUGUCACCACUACUUAUGUUGCUCCUAUACAUCGAAGUUCUGAAAUAUUUCUCUGGAUGUGUUGAAAGAUUGCUGAAAUAAAAGAUUGAUCGAUAA
Daphnia pulicaria is the source of this 1999-nucleotide long non-coding RNA. RefSeq lists it as uncharacterized. NCBI's taxonomy places the organism in Eukaryota, Metazoa, Arthropoda, Branchiopoda, Diplostraca, Daphniidae. The record is from RefSeq and is a predicted model, not a curated record. The transcript is spliced from 5 exons.